Labrus mixtus (cuckoo wrasse) is the source of this 497-nucleotide long non-coding RNA. RefSeq lists it as uncharacterized. The record is from RefSeq and is a predicted model, not a curated record. The transcript is spliced from 3 exons. NCBI's taxonomy places the organism in Eukaryota, Metazoa, Chordata, Actinopteri, Labriformes, Labridae.
ACACACACCAUCACACACCUCCCCCAAAGCAACCAGUGGUGCAAACAAACAGAAUAGCAUUCAGGUGCGUCAAGCAGUGACUCAUAUCCACUGGCCUAUCUCUCCAAUAAAGGCACACAAUGUCCACACAAAAAAGUAAGUGCUCUGAUUGUCAGUGUCCUGCAGCUCUCUGCCUUUAUACUCCGUUAUUUUUAACCCACCACGCUUACGCAAAACCACUUCCCCUCCUGUCCCCGAGCCAAGUGGAAAUGGACUCAGUUUCCUGAGGAAAAACUUGACACACGCUUCCUCUACUUUCACUCAGCUGAGGAUGCAGACAUGCAGGGUGUCCUGCUCAUGUGCUGAUGGACUCUGCUGCUGGAAAACUGUUAGACUUGUAUUUAUAUCCAUUGAGCAGAAGUGGUUUCAACAACAUGAUAUGUAUGUUUUCUAAACCCUAACCCAUAAACAACAACAAAAUGAUAGAUCAUGUUUAAAAUGAACUCCAAGGCCACUAA